RNAcentral lists this long non-coding RNA (717 nucleotides) under Chrysolophus pictus (golden pheasant). RNAcentral's name for it is "lncRNA (ENSCPIG00010002779.1)". Lineage: Eukaryota; Metazoa; Chordata; Aves; Galliformes; Phasianidae. The record is from RNAcentral.
CUUGAGCAGCCUGGAGCUGCCACAGUUGCAAAGGCAUAUUUGUCUUUCACUUCACAACCCUUCCAGAGAAGGAUCUGUGAAUGAGCUGGCAAAUUUACUCAGUCCUGUGUACAUGGUGAGGGCUUACCAGGCUGCAUCCCUUCCAUGAUGUGUACAAGCCCUUACUUGCAAGGAUGACAGGAACUCUGAGUCAAUACCAGGGUCUUAACCCAUGUUCAUCUUGCCUCCUGCAUGUCUUGCUUGUACCACAUCAUCCCUGGCAGUGGAAAGGAGAGACUGAGUAAGAGCUAGGCAGAGAAGAAACCUUCAGAAGGAACUAUGUAAGAUUAAUAUUAGCUUUUGAUGUCAAAACAAAGGCAAAUGAUAUUUUGGAAGACUACAGCAAAAUCUUCAAGAUGGAGGGACUGGAUGGAAGGAGAUGUCAGGACAGCAGGUAACUUCUGUUAGCUGCUCCACCACACAAAUCACCCCCACAUUCAAUCAGCAGACUCCAAAGAAUGUGAAGAAAGCCUGCUGGGAAUUUGGGGAUCUACACCACUCUUGGGGAUGGCUUUUCUGACAGAGGGCUCAUGCACAAAAUGGUACUCAAGAUAUUCGCCCUUCAGACCUGUAAAUAUUGCUCCUCAUUACAAAACUUCAAAACCCAGUCAUGCACUAAUUUUAGCCUUCAGAAGGACAAAAAGUCUCAGAGGAGCCUGUGUCCAACCCUGCUGCUGA